Molecule: unclassified non-coding RNA, 1220 nt
Organism: Rhipicephalus microplus (southern cattle tick)
Lineage: Eukaryota; Metazoa; Arthropoda; Arachnida; Ixodida; Ixodidae
Source: RefSeq, a predicted model, not a curated record
AUCUUUGAAAGCUUCCCAUUCGCCGUCGCCAUCUCUGACUCUGACAACGACAAUGUAUACGAAUGUCUAUCAACGAGAAGAAUGUGGAUAAAGCCGGAAGAAAAAAAGGGCGAAUACGUUUGGUUUCUCCAAGGGAAUCAUGACAACCGAAAGCGAACCAUCAGCUUUUAUGUAUUCAAGGGAACCAGCCCCGACACAUUCCUUUUUACAGUGGGCUCAGAUGAGGCACUUUCAAGCCAAGCAAAGUUCCACUACACAGACUACGAGAACUGUGCGGUCCUAGACCUUCCAUACAACGGACGCCCGCGCAACCAUUUCUACCAGUGGACGACUUCUCAACGCGACAGACAGUGACGGCGGUGGAGGUCACCUCAGUGAAAGAUAAGCAAAUCUUGGAAAGAACGAAGCGACUUUAAAGGAGAGGAGAAUAAGAGAGGACACCGCUGGUGCGACAGCUUCAAGCUGAGGCAUGGUGCAACCGCUCUCUCCUGCAGCAGCAGAAGGGUUAGGAGCUGUGGUAGGGGUACAGCUGGUUUUUGUCGGCGUCCAGGUGAAGAGCGAGUGGGUUGAAGACGUGGAAGUUGGGACUUCUGACUUCUUCCCACGUCAUGUCCAGGGUGUUGGACGUCGAUGAGGCUGGAGUGCGAUGUUCCCAUGAGGAGCUAGAGGUGGAGGAUAUUUUCGUCUCGUUGUUGCUGCGAAAGGUUCGUCCCUCGCAGGAAGCCAUGGUCGGGGCAGGACAGGACGAAAACCGGGAGUCACCUUCCCUUCUCUCAGAGCCUGGGAGAGGGUCGUAGCGACUUGGCUGUGGUUCUUCUGAGGCCGGGGUUUGCGCUUCCCGCGCGCAGGCUUUGACGGUGCCUGCUGCUGAUGAGUGGACACCGAUGGCAAGGUUGCCGUGACGGCUUCCUGCUGGUUCACCUUGUCGGGGACUUGUGCUGGAGUCUGUCACCCUUAAAAGAGUGCAUUUUGUGGAGCACGGAAAAAAGCAAGAACUCUCUACCUCAGAAGUGCCUGGAUGAGUUUGAGAAAUAUUGUCGUGCUGGCAUACCACUUUACGGGAAAGCACUUUGCAGUGACGAUGAAGUCGCUGAAUGGUGAUGCAUGCUUUGGAGAAAGAAAUGAACACAAUGUGUGGCCACCGGAGUGAAAGACCUUAGUAUAUGUCUGUUGCAGGAUGAUGCACAAAGCUUAAAUAGACUUCGAAAAAGGUAAUGAAA